This 1372-nucleotide ribosomal RNA is filed under the name uncultured bacterium. RNAcentral describes it as "bacterial SSU rRNA". It matches the Rfam family "Bacterial small subunit ribosomal RNA", at positions 28 to 1381 of the family's 1533-position model. The record is from RNAcentral.
GAUGAACGCUGGCGGCGUGCCUAAUACAUGCAAGUCGAGCGAACGGACGAGAAGCUUGCUUCUUUGAUGUUAGCGGCGGACGGGUGAGUAACACGUGGAUAACCUACCUAUAAGACUGGGAUAACUUCGGGAAACCGGAGCUAAUACCGGAUAAUAUUUUGAACCGCAUGGUUCAAAAGUGAAAGACGGUCUUGCUGUCACUUAUAGAUGGAUCCGCGCUGCAUUAGCUAGUUGGUAAGGUAACGGCUUACCAAGGCAACGAUGCAUAGCCGACCUGAGAGGGUGAUCGGCCACACUGGAACUGAGACACGGUCCAGACUCCUACGGGAGGCAGCAGUAGGGAAUCUUCCGCAAUGGGCGAAAGCCUGACGGAGCAACGCCGCGUGAGUGAUGAAGGUCUUCGGAUCGUAAAACUCUGUUAUUAGGGAAGAACAUAUGUGUAAGUAACUGUGCACAUCUUGACGGUACCUAAUCAGAAAGCCACGGCUAACUACGUGCCAGCAGCCGCGGUAAUACGUAGGUGGCAAGCGUUAUCCGGAAUUAUUGGGCGUAAAGCGCGCGUAGGCGGUUUUUUAAGUCUGAUGUGAAAGCCCACGGCUCAACCGUGGAGGGUCAUUGGAAACUGGAAAACUUGAGUGCAGAAGAGGAAAGUGGAAUUCCAUGUGUAGCGGUGAAAUGCGCAGAGAUAUGGAGGAACACCAGUGGCGAAGGCGACUUUCUGGUCUGUAACUGACGCUGAUGUGCGAAAGCGUGGGGAUCAAACAGGAUUAGAUACCCUGGUAGUCCACGCCGUAAACGAUGAGUGCUAAGUGUUAGGGGGUUUCCGCCCCUUAGUGCUGCAGCUAACGCAUUAAGCACUCCGCCUGGGGAGUACGACCGCAAGGUUGAAACUCAAAGGAAUUGACGGGGACCCGCACAAGCGGUGGAGCAUGUGGUUUAAUUCGAAGCAACGCGAAGAACCUUACCAAAUCUUGACAUCCUUUGACAACUCUAGAGAUAGAGCCUUCCCCUUCGGGGGACAAAGUGACAGGUGGUGCAUGGUUGUCGUCAGCUCGUGUCGUGAGAUGUUGGGUUAAGUCCCGCAACGAGCGCAACCCUUAAGCUUAGUUGCCAUCAUUAAGUUGGGCACUCUAAGUUGACUGCCGGUGACAAACCGGAGGAAGGUGGGGAUGACGUCAAAUCAUCAUGCCCCUUAUGAUUUGGGCUACACACGUGCUACAAUGGACAAUACAAAGGGCAGCGAAACCGCGAGGUCAAGCAAAUCCCAUAAAGUUGUUCUCAGUUCGGAUUGUAGUCUGCAACUCGACUACAUGAAGCUGGAAUCGCUAGUAAUCGUAGAUCAGCAUGCUACGGUGAAUACGUUCCCGGGUCU